GGGGGGGCAAGCGUUGUUCGGAAUUACUGGGCGUAAAGGGCGUGUAGGCGGUCCUGCAAGUCUUUCGUGAAAUCCCACAGCUCAACUGUGGAACUGCGAGGGAAACUGCAGGACUUGAGUCCGGGAGAGGAGAGUGGAAUUCCCAGUGUAGCGGUGAAAUGCGUAGAUAUUGGGAGGAACACCGGUGGCGAAGGCGGCUCUCUGGACCGGUACUGACGCUGAGGCGCGAAAGCUAGGGGAGCAAACGGGAUUAGAUACCCCGGUAGUCCUAGCCUUAAACGAUGAGCACUUGGUGUGGCGGGUAUCGACCCCCUGCCGUGCCGAAGCUAACGCAUUAAGUGCUCCGCCUGGGGGAGUACGGUCGCAAGGCUG
This 372-nucleotide ribosomal RNA is filed under the name uncultured organism. RNAcentral's name for it is "partial 16S ribosomal RNA". It matches the Rfam family "Bacterial small subunit ribosomal RNA", at positions 528 to 896 of the family's 1533-position model. The record is from RNAcentral.